Pygoscelis adeliae (Adelie penguin) is the source of this 549-nucleotide long non-coding RNA. RefSeq lists it as uncharacterized. NCBI's taxonomy places the organism in Eukaryota, Metazoa, Chordata, Aves, Sphenisciformes, Spheniscidae. The record is from RefSeq and is a predicted model, not a curated record. The transcript has 5 exons.
UGCGACUGUGACGUGGGAGGUGCCCGCGACAACCUGUGCGCCGUGGAGACAGGGCAGUGCCGGUGCCGCAGCCAUGUGGUGGGACGGCAGUGUGGCCAGGUGGAGCCCGGCUUCUACCGCAUCAACCUGGACCAUUACACUUAUGAGGCUGAGGAUGCUCAGCUGCAUCAGGGCUCAGUGGUGGAGCGUGAGCCCCCCACGGACCACCUGGCUUCAUGGACGGGGACGGGCUUUGCCCGCUUGCUGGAGGGCAGCUGGGUGGAGUUUCACGUGAGUGACGUGCCUUUCUCCACCGAGUAUGACGUGAUCAUCCGCUACGAGCCCCAGCACCGGGAGCCCUGGCAGGAGGUGAGGGGGAGGGUGCUGCGCCCCAGCCCCGUCUCCGCCGGUGGAACCCCCACCCCAGCCGAUGACCAGCUCUCCACCAGCCUCCCCUCCGGUGCCAGGUAUGUGGUGCUGCCCCAGCCCAUCUGCCUGGAGCGGGGCGUCUCCUACACCCUCCGCCUGGAGCUGGGCUGUGCUGCCGCUCGGCAGGAUCCCACCGCCAGC